RNAcentral lists this ribosomal RNA (253 nucleotides) under uncultured bacterium. Its description in RNAcentral is "partial 16S ribosomal RNA". It matches the Rfam family "Bacterial small subunit ribosomal RNA", at positions 524 to 776 of the family's 1533-position model. The record is from RNAcentral.
UACGUAGGGGGCAAGCGUUGUCCGGAAUCAUUGGGCGUAAAGAGCGUGUAGGCGGCCCGAUAAGUCCGCUGUGAAAGUCCAGGGCUCAACCCUGGAAUGCCGGUGGAUACUGUCGGGCUCGAAUCCGGAAGAGGUGAGUGGAAUUCCUGGUGUAGCGGUGAAAUGCGCAGAUAUCAGGAGGAACACCAAUGGCGAAGGCAGCUCACUGGGACGGUAUUGACGCUGAGACGCGAAAGCCAGGGGAGCAAACGGG